GAUGAACGCUGGCGGCGUGCCUAAUACAUGCAAGUCGAGCGGACGGACGCGAAGCUUGCUUCUCUGAUGUUAGCGGCGGACGGGUGAGUAACAAGUGGAUAACCUACCUAUAAGACUGGGAUAACAUCGGGAAACCGGAGCUAAUACCGGAGAAUAUUUUGAACCGCAUGGUUCAAGAGUGAAAGACGGUCUUGCUGUCACUUAUGGAUGGGUCCGCGCUGCAUUAGCUAGUUGGUAGGGUAACGGCUUACCAAGGCAACGAUGCAUAGCCGACCUGAGAGGGUGAUGGGCCACACUGGAACUGAGACACGGCCCAGACUCCUACGGGAGGCAGCAGUAGGGAAUCUUACGCAAUGGGGGAAAGACUGACGGAGCAACGCCGCGUGAGGGAUGAAGGUCUUCGGAGCGUAAAACUCUGUUAUUAGGGAAGAACAUAUGUGGAAGUAACUGUGCACAUCUUGACGGUAGCUAAUCAGAAAGCCACGGCUAACUACGUG
RNAcentral lists this ribosomal RNA (497 nucleotides) under uncultured bacterium. Its description in RNAcentral is "partial 16S ribosomal RNA". It matches the Rfam family "Bacterial small subunit ribosomal RNA", at positions 28 to 507 of the family's 1533-position model. The record is from RNAcentral.